RNAcentral lists this ribosomal RNA (599 nucleotides) under bacterium enrichment culture clone F61x_D47_T3_G06. Its description in RNAcentral is "bacterial SSU rRNA". It matches the Rfam family "Bacterial small subunit ribosomal RNA", at positions 22 to 615 of the family's 1533-position model. The record is from RNAcentral.
GCUCAGAUUGAACGCUGGCGGCAUGCUUUACACAUGCAAGUCGAACGGCAGCACGGGGGCAACCCUGGUGGCGAGUGGCGAACGGGUGAGUAAUAUAUCGGAACGUACCCAAGAGUGGGGGAUAACGUAGCGAAAGUUACGCUAAUACCGCAUACGAUCUACGGAUGAAAGUGGGGGACCGCAAGGCCUCACGCUCCUGGAGCGGCCGAUAUCUGGUUAGCUAGUAGGUAGGGUAAAGGCCUACCUAGGCGACGAUCAGUAGCUGGUCUGAGAGGACGACCAGCCACACUGGAACUGAGACACGGUCCAGACUCCUACGGGAGGCAGCAGUGGGGAAUUUUGGACAAUGGGGGCAACCCUGAUCCAGCAAUGCCGCGUGAGUGAAGAAGGCCUUCGGGUUGUAAAGCUCUUUUGUCAGGGAAGAAACGGGUCUGGAUAAUACCUGGGCUUAAUGACGGUACCGGAAGAAUAAGCACCGGCUAACUACGUGCCAGCAGCCGCGGUAAUACGUAGGGUGCAAGCGUUAAUCGGAAUUACUGGGCGUAAAGCGUGCGCAGGCGGUUUUAUAAGUCUGUCGUGAAAGCCCNCGGGCUCNACCU